RNAcentral lists this ribosomal RNA (424 nucleotides) under uncultured prokaryote. Its description in RNAcentral is "bacterial SSU rRNA". It matches the Rfam family "Bacterial small subunit ribosomal RNA", at positions 355 to 796 of the family's 1533-position model. The record is from RNAcentral.
UGGGGUAUAUUGGACAAUGGGCGCAAGCCUGAUCCAGCCAUGCCGCGUGAGUGAAGAAGGCCCUAGGGUUGUAAAGCUCUUUCACCCGUGAAGAUGAUGACGGUAGCGGGAGAAGAAGCCCCGGCUAACUCCGUGCCAGCAGCCGCGGUAAUACGGAGGGGGCAAGCGUUGUUCGGAAUUACUGGGCGUAAAGGGCGCGUAGGCGGACGAUCAAGUCAGGGGUGAAAGGCCUGGGCUCAACCCGGGAAUUGCCUUUGAAACUGGUAGUCUAGAGUCCGGGAGAGGAUUGGGGAAUUCCCAGUGUAGAGGUGAAAUUCGUAGAUAUUGGGAAGAACACCGGUGGCGAAGGCGGCCACCUGGUCCGGCACUGACGCUGAGGCGCGAAAGCGUGGGGAGCAAACAGGAUUAGAUACCCGCGUAGUCC